Molecule: long non-coding RNA, 416 nt
Organism: Odocoileus virginianus texanus
Lineage: Eukaryota; Metazoa; Chordata; Mammalia; Artiodactyla; Cervidae
Source: RefSeq, a predicted model, not a curated record
GAGACUUUCGGAAAACUUAAACCCUGCAGCAGCUGCUUCCUGAUGGCUCCGCUCUGUAGUCUCCUACUGUAGAUCCACGCGUCCAGGUCUCUUGACACUCACUUGUCGCCAGCGCCCUCAAGGCUUUCCAACUCUCUUAAAUACAGUGAGUAGUGUCCCUGCAAGUUGGAAAGCUCUCAUCUUCUAAGAAAACAAGCAACAUUAUAUCACGACUCCUGGAUUCUCAUCAUCGAAGGAAAACAAAAACAACAAAUAAUUGAGAAGUUCAUAACCCGUCAGCAAAACAGACUUUGGGUGAGUAAAUCUUAUAUAACCAAUGGAAGCAAGUAUAACUUGUAAAGAUUUGAUGCAUUUGCAGAAUAACGUUCCGAAUCAAUAAGGCAAAUAAAUGUGUAAUAACAGGACUUUGAAAAUGA